UGAUGUCUUUGGCUAAAGCUUCUACACGAGGUUUUGCGCCUGCUAAGGCUUCAAUUCGUGACCAUUUUGAUUUUAAACGCUGUUUUACAUCCUCUUCUUGAUCCUCUGUAAUGUCAUUAUAUGCUUCGUCUAAGUCUAAAUUUUGAGGUAAAUUUAAUGGAAUUAUGCGACUUUCAUAGUAAAUUUUCACCGUACUUCCAUCAGCUACGGCUUGUGUCAUAUCAUAAACAUCGAU
RNAcentral lists this small RNA (235 nucleotides) under Staphylococcus aureus. RNAcentral's name for it is "HMPRFS0000_0068". Lineage: Bacteria; Bacillati; Bacillota; Bacilli; Caryophanales; Staphylococcaceae. The record is from RNAcentral.